This 1035-nucleotide long non-coding RNA is filed under the name Olea europaea (common olive). RNAcentral describes it as "long non-coding RNA (OEUR_LNC002200)". The record is from RNAcentral. Lineage: Eukaryota; Viridiplantae; Streptophyta; Magnoliopsida; Lamiales; Oleaceae.
GUAAAGGUGUCCGAAUUGUAUUGGAAAGGCAUAAACAGUCAAAGUUAUAUAUUUUUCAAGGUCGUGCAGAAUCGUUGAAGAACAAUCUACAAAGAUUUAGUACCAUGGUGCACAUUCAGUUUGGUACAGCGUCGUCAGGAUUUGGUUUGGAGUCUGUGUUGAAGAACACAGCUCAGUUGAGCUCAGCGGAUGUGGGUGAUGCCGCUUUGUCACCAUUACCUGCGAUGCUAUCGUAUUCAAUUGCUAGGGUUGGCCCAUUGGAAAAAGAUAUGGGAAGCUGAUUUUGUUGCGCAUUCUUUAAGUAUAUUUGAAGGCAUUCAAUCUGGCAAAAGUCCUUCCGCAAAAGCAUUUAGUGUUGAUUCUAUUUCAAGGUGUGUUUCAGCCCUAUUUGGUAAAUUUUAAAUUGUUUGUGAUUUUCAGGAACCAAGGUAAUUCUAUGGAGUAAUGCUUGAAAUUAUUUAUUCUAGUUGGUUAUUAUGGAAGAGGUGGAAAUUUUUUUGGUUCUUUGAAGAAGUUAGUUUGGUUCUUGUCGAAGAGUUCAAUUUAUCUCUUGCAGUUGAGAUUUUUCUCCAUAUGGAGAAAUUUUCGAGCUUUGUUUGUUAUAGGAGAAUUUGUAUCAAGAUGGAGAUUGUUGUAUUAUGACCUAUAUUCAUCUAAGGUUUGCGUGGUCUGGUGUAUUGGGUCUUGACGGCAUCUAAAUAAGGUCGAUAGAGAAAAAAGGGAUUGACAGUGCUAACCUAUCGCUAGCUAGAUGUACGAGCGACGUGACAAAAAUUUCAAUAGCGAGUUGUCCCCUGCCUACCGCUUGCCUGACACUUGUUGGUGCUCGAGCAUCGCUGUCAUCUAACUUUUCCUUCUUUGUUUAUUUCACGCACUUUUAUUUUUUAUUUCUUUUUACCUAGUUUCUAUCUUUUGGGCUAUAGUUAGGGUUUGACAUGUGUCCCUAUAAAUAGUAGAUUCUUCGUUACACUUAGAUUCAUAAGUGAGCUUAGAAUUAUUGGGAGAGACCAUAUUGUUGUAAUUUUUUAUUUUUUU